GCGCGAAAACUUUACAAUGCUGGCAACAGCGAUAAGGGAACCUCGAGUGCCAGGUUACAAAUCUGGCUGUCGAGAUGCCUAAAAAGCAUUUCAUAGCAAGGGCCGGGCAAGACCGGUGCCAGCCGCCGCGGUAACACCGGCGGCUCGAGUGGUAACCGUUAUUAUUGGGUCUAAAGGGUCUGUAGCCGGCCGGAUAAGUCUCUUGAGAAAUCUGGCAGCUUAACUGUCAGGCUUUCAGGAGAUACUGUCUGGCUCGAGGCCGGGAGAGGUGAGAGGUACUUCGAGGGGUAGGGUGAAAUCUUGUAAUCCUUGAAGGACCACCAGUGGCGAAGGCGUCUCACCAGAACGGACCUGACGGCAAGGGACGAAAGCUAGGGGCACGAACCGGAUUAGAAACCCG
Molecule: ribosomal RNA, 400 nt
Filed under: uncultured bacterium
Lineage: Bacteria
Description: bacterial SSU rRNA
Rfam family: Archaeal small subunit ribosomal RNA
Source: RNAcentral